This 22-nucleotide microRNA is filed under the name Drosophila melanogaster (fruit fly). RNAcentral's name for it is "dme-miR-4969-3p". RNAcentral also lists the same sequence under 1 other name. The record is from miRBase by way of RNAcentral. Lineage: Eukaryota; Metazoa; Arthropoda; Insecta; Diptera; Drosophilidae.
CCACCUGUCAAUCAAUACCACC